Non-coding RNA from Manis javanica (Malayan pangolin), 496 nucleotides. The record is from RefSeq and is a predicted model, not a curated record. Lineage: Eukaryota; Metazoa; Chordata; Mammalia; Pholidota; Manidae.
CCCGGAAGUGUUCCGGGGUCUCCCCUAGGCGGCGCGACGAAGCCCAGCCUCCGUCUCGCGAAACUCAGCGAGACUACGGAGGCCGGAAGGAUUGCGCUGAGCUUUUCUUGAGCUAAGGGCCGUCGGCGGCACCGAGGGCCUGGAGACAUAAAGAAGAAAAAACACCUGAUUCUUGAGUGGCACAACAAUCAAUAGAGGAGGAGACAUAAGAAGAAUUAGAUAUGGCACAGUGGCUAAAAGAAAAUAAUAUCAUGUUCCUCAAUUGCUUUUCUAAGCAUACUGGAUAAUUUUAGAAAUGUGCUCCUUUCUGUAGAGGAAUAAACAUGAACCCAGCCUACAAACCUAUGAGAAGCUGAUGUACUUUGUGUAGGAAGACUCCACAAUUCUUGAAGACAUGAGAAAGAAAAUUGCAAGGAAUCAAAGCAUGAAGAUCUUUGGAUGGUCCCGUGUAGAAGUUACUUAGGCAAUUCAAAUAAAAUAUAAACACUAUGUAAUA